GACGAACGCUGGCGGCGUGCCUAAUACAUGCAAGUAGAACGCUGAGGGAGGAGCUUGCUUCUCUGGAUGAGUUGCGAACGGGUGAGUAACGCGUAGGUAACCUGCCUGGUAGCGGGGGAUAACUAUUGGAAACGAUAGCUAAUACCGCAUAAGAGUAGAUGUUGCAUGACAUUUGCUUAAAAGGUGCAAUUGCAUCACUACCAGAUGGACCUGCGUUGUAUUAGCUAGUUGGUGGGGUAACGGCUCACCAAGGCGACGAUACAUAGCCGACCUGAGAGGGGGAUCGGCCACACUGGGACUGAGACACGGCCCAGACUCCUACGGGAGGCAGCAGUAGGGAAUCUUCGGCAAUGGACGGAAGUCUGACCGAGCAACGCCGCGUGAGUGAAGAAGGUUUUCGGAUCGUAAAGCUCUGUUGUAAGAGAAGAACGAGUGCGAGAGUGGAAAGUUCACACUGUGACGGUAUCUUACCAGAAAGGGACGGCUAACUACGUG
This 495-nucleotide ribosomal RNA is filed under the name uncultured bacterium. Its description in RNAcentral is "partial 16S ribosomal RNA". It matches the Rfam family "Bacterial small subunit ribosomal RNA", at positions 28 to 507 of the family's 1533-position model. The record is from RNAcentral.